CAACCAAACACGCGUUCUUAGCUGCCCGGUGUGGCACGACCCUCCCCCCAUCUCCCUUUCAGGGCCUUCGCCAGUGUGGGAGCCUCGUCUCACUGGAGAGUCCCCUCAG
Unclassified non-coding RNA from Cebus imitator (Panamanian white-faced capuchin), 109 nucleotides. NCBI's taxonomy places the organism in Eukaryota, Metazoa, Chordata, Mammalia, Primates, Cebidae. The record is from Ensembl.